RNAcentral lists this ribosomal RNA (450 nucleotides) under uncultured bacterium. RNAcentral describes it as "bacterial SSU rRNA". It matches the Rfam family "Bacterial small subunit ribosomal RNA", at positions 29 to 524 of the family's 1533-position model. The record is from RNAcentral.
AACGAACGCUGGCGGCAUGCCUAACACAUGCAAGUCGAACGAGACCUUCGGUCUAGUGGCGCACGGGUGCGUAACGCGUGGGAAUCUGCCCUUGGGUUCGGAAUAACAGCGAGAAAUUGCUGCUAAUACCGGAUGAUGACGUAAGUCCAAAGAUUUAUCGCCCAAGGAUGAGCCCGCGUAGGAUUAGCUAGUUGGUGAGGUAAAGGCUCACCAAGGCGACGAUCCUUAGCUGGUCUGAGAGGAUGAUCAGCCACACUGGGACUGAGACACGGCCCAGACUCCUACGGGAGGCAGCAGUGGGGGAAUAUUGGACAAUGGGCGAAAGCCUGAUCCAGCAAUGCCGCGUGAGUGAUGAAGGCCUUAGGGUUGUAAAGCUCUUUUACCCGGGAUGAUAAUGACAGUACCGGGAGAAUAAGCUCCGGCUAACUCCGUGCCAGCAGCCGCGGUAAU